RNAcentral lists this ribosomal RNA (1444 nucleotides) under uncultured Synechococcus sp. Its description in RNAcentral is "bacterial SSU rRNA". It matches the Rfam family "Bacterial small subunit ribosomal RNA". The record is from RNAcentral. Lineage: Bacteria; Bacillati; Cyanobacteriota; Cyanophyceae; Synechococcales; Synechococcaceae.
AGAGUUUGAUCAUGGCUCAGGAUGAACGCUGGCGGCGUGCUUAACACAUGCAAGUCGAACGAACCUUCGGGUUAGUGGCGGACGGGUGAGUAACGCGUGAGAAUCUGCCCUCAGGAGGGGGACAACAGCUGGAAACGGCUGCUAAUACCCCAUAUGCCGCGAGGUGAAAUGAAUUUCGCCUGAGGAUGAGCUCGCGUCUGAUUAGCUAGUUGGUGUAGGUAAUGGCUCACCAAGGCAUCGAUCAGUAGCUGGUCUGAGAGGAUGAUCAGCCACACUGGGACUGAGACACGGCCCAGACUCCUACGGGAGGCAGCAGUGGGGAAUUUUCCGCAAUGGGCGAAAGCCUGACGGAGCAACGCCGCGUGAGGGAUGAAGGCCUCUGGGCUGUAAACCUCUUUUAUCAAGGAAGAAGAUCUGACGGUACUUGAUGAAUAAGCCACGGCUAAUUCCGUGCCAGCAGCCGCGGUAAUACGGGAGUGGCAAGCGUUAUCCGGAAUUAUUGGGCGUAAAGCGUCCGCAGGCGGCCCUUCAAGUCUGCUGUUAAAAAGUGGAGCUUGACUCCAUCAUGGCAGUGGAAACUGUUGGGCUUGAGUGUGGUAGGGGCAGAGGGAAUUCCCGGUGUAGCGGUGAAAUGCGUAGAUAUCGGGAAGAACACCAGUGGCGAAGGCGCUCUGCUGGGCCAUCACUGACGCUCAUGGACGAAAGCCAGGGGAGCGAAAGGGAUUAGAUACCCCUGUAGUCCUGGCCGUAAACGAUGAACACUAGGUGUCGGAGGAAUCGACCCCCUCGGUGUCGUAGCCAACGCGUUAAGUGUUCCGCCUGGGGAGUACGCACGCAAGUGUGAAACUCAAAGGAAUUGACGGGGGCCCGCACAAGCGGUGGAGUAUGUGGUUUAAUUCGAUGCAACGCGAAGAACCUUACCAGGGUUUGACAUCCCGCGAAUCUCUUGGAAACAGGAGAGUGCCUUCGGGAACGCAGUGACAGGUGGUGCAUGGCUGUCGUCAGCUCGUGUCGUGAGAUGUUGGGUUAAGUCCCGCAACGAGCGCAACCCACGUCUUUAGUUGCCAGCAUUUAGUUGGGCACUCUAGAGAGACUGCCGGUGAUAAACCGGAGGAAGGUGUGGAUGACGUCAAGUCAUCAUGCCCCUUACAUCCUGGGCUACACACGUACUACAAUGCUACGGACAAAGGGCAGCAAGUUCGCGAGGACAAGCAAAUCCCAUAAACCGUGGCUCAGUUCAGAUCGUAGGCUGCAACUCGCCUACGUGAAGGCGGAAUCGCUAGUAAUCGCAGGUCAGCAUACUGCGGUGAAUACGUUCCCGGGCCUUGUACACACCGCCCGUCACACCAUGGAAGUUGGCCACGCCCGAAGCCGUUACUCCAACCCUUGUGGAGGAGGACGUCGAAGGUGGGGCUGAUGACUGGGGUGAAGUCGUAACAAGGUA